This 421-nucleotide ribosomal RNA is filed under the name uncultured bacterium. Its description in RNAcentral is "partial 16S ribosomal RNA". It matches the Rfam family "Bacterial small subunit ribosomal RNA", at positions 360 to 773 of the family's 1533-position model. The record is from RNAcentral.
AAUUUUGGACAAGGGGGGCAACCCUGAUCCAGCCAUCCCGCGUGUGCGAUGAAGGCCUUCUGGUUGUAACGCACUUUUGCCAGGGAAGCAAAGGCUCUGGUUAUUCCCUCGAGCUGCUGACGGUACCUGCAGAAUAAGCACAGUCUAACUACCUGCCAGCAGCCGCGGUAAUACGGAGGGUGCAAGCGUUAAUCGGAAUUACUGGGCGUAAAGCGUGCGCAGGCGGUUCGGCAAGAAGGAUGUGAAAUCCCAGGGCUUAACCUUGGAACUGCAUUCUUAACUGCCGGGCUAGAGCAUGUCAGAGGGGGGUAGAAUUCCGCGUGUAGCAGUGAAAUGCGUAGAGAUGCGGAGGAAUACCGAUGGCGAAGGCAGCCCCCUGGGAUAAUACUGACGCUCAUGCACGAAAGCGUGGGGAGCAAAC